This 128-nucleotide microRNA precursor is filed under the name Pelobates cultripes (western spadefoot toad). Lineage: Eukaryota; Metazoa; Chordata; Amphibia; Anura; Pelobatidae. The record is from RNAcentral.
AUCAUUGAGUAAACUUUGACCCGGAACCACACAGUCAGCAGACACUUCCUGGGAGGGAGGGUCUGCUGCUGAUUGGGUGGAAUGUGUCUGCUGGCUGUGAGGUUCCGGGUCAAAGUUUACUCAAUGAU